ACAUAAUUAUAAUUUGUUCUGUUUUUAUUUUGUUUUGUUAUUUGUAUGAAAAUUGGGAAAUUCAUGGAAGGGAAUUUGGGUCGACUUUAGAAAAAAUGUUUUAAGAAUGAGUAUUGAUGUAUAAGUAUUGAUGUUUAACUUUGGAUAAGGUAAAAUUGGAUAAGGAUUUGCUGAACUAAUAAUUUGAAUUGGAAUACAAGAAGGGGAGGUAUGAGGAGGUCAGGGAAAUAUGUUAUUGAAAAAUAAGUAUUGUGAACUCUAUGUGUUUUUAAACUCUUUUUCUUUUUCCUUUUUGAUUCUUUUUUAUUGUAUUAAUCUGAAAACUUUAAUAAAUAUCUUU
This is a long non-coding RNA of Podarcis raffonei (Aeolian wall lizard), 340 nucleotides long. RefSeq lists it as uncharacterized. NCBI's taxonomy places the organism in Eukaryota, Metazoa, Chordata, Lepidosauria, Squamata, Lacertidae. The transcript is spliced from 2 exons. The record is from RefSeq and is a predicted model, not a curated record.